Long non-coding RNA from Xiphophorus hellerii (green swordtail), 82 nucleotides. RefSeq lists it as uncharacterized. The transcript has 3 exons. The record is from RefSeq and is a predicted model, not a curated record. Lineage: Eukaryota; Metazoa; Chordata; Actinopteri; Cyprinodontiformes; Poeciliidae.
GUGGUGAGGGAAUGACAUUAUAACCUGAUGUAAAGCUUAAACAGGUUGAUUUUACAUAUUCCUGCCCCUUUAAAACAAAUGC